AUUGAACGCUGGCGGCAUGCUUUACACAUGCAAGUCGAACGGUAACAGGCCGCAAGGUGCUGACGAGUGGCGAACGGGUGAGUAAUGCAUCGGAACGUGCCCAGUCCGUGGGGGAUAACGCAGCGAAAGCUGUGCUAAUACCGCAUACGAUCUAUGGAUGAAAGCGGGGGACCGAAAGGCCUCGCGCGAUUGGAGCGGCCGAUGUCGGAUUAGGUAGUUGGUGGGUAAAGGCUCACCAAGCCAACGAUCUGUAGCUGGUCUGAGAGGACGACCAGCCACACUGGAACUGAGACACGGUCCAGACUCCUACGGGAGGCAGCAGUGGGGAAUUUUCCGCAAUGGGCGAAAGCCUGACGGAGCAAUACCGCGUGAGGGAAGAAUGCCUAUGGGUUGUAAACCUCUUUUUC
This 407-nucleotide ribosomal RNA is filed under the name uncultured bacterium. RNAcentral describes it as "bacterial SSU rRNA". It matches the Rfam family "Bacterial small subunit ribosomal RNA", at positions 30 to 439 of the family's 1533-position model. The record is from RNAcentral.